This 406-nucleotide ribosomal RNA is filed under the name uncultured bacterium. RNAcentral describes it as "partial 16S ribosomal RNA". It matches the Rfam family "Bacterial small subunit ribosomal RNA", at positions 28 to 526 of the family's 1533-position model. The record is from RNAcentral.
GAUGAACGCUAGCUACAGGCUUAACACAUGCAAGUCGAGGGACGGGCGCACGGGUGAGAUACACGUAUCCCACCUGCCCUUUACUCGAGGAUAGCCUUUCGAAAGAAAGAUUAAUACACGAUGUAAAGGAUGGGGAUGCGUUCCAUUAGGUUGUUGGUGAGGUAACGGCACACCAAGCCUUCGAUGGAUGGGGGUUCUGAGAGGAAGGCCCCCCACAUCGGAACUGAGGCACAGUCCAAUCUCCUACGUGAGGGAGCAGUGAGUAAUAUUAGUGAAGGGGCGUUAGCCUGACCCAGCCACGUAGCGUGAAGGAGGAAGGCUUAUGGGUGGUAAACUUCUUUUAUAUAAGAAGAUGUAUUAUAUGAAUAAGGAUCGGCUAACUCCGUGCCAGCAGCCGCGGUAAUAC